Molecule: ribosomal RNA, 484 nt
Filed under: uncultured bacterium
Lineage: Bacteria
Description: partial 16S ribosomal RNA
Rfam family: Bacterial small subunit ribosomal RNA
Source: RNAcentral
AUUGAACGCUGGCGGCAGGCCUAACACAUGCAAGUCGAGCGGAUGAAGGGAGCUUGCUCCUGGAUUCAGCGGCGGACGGGUGAGUAAUGCCUAGGAAUCUGCCUGGUAGUGGGGUAUAACGUCCGGAAACGGGCGCUAAUACCGCAUACGUCCUGAGGGAAAAAGUGGGGGAUCUUCGGACCUCACGCUAUCAUCUGAGCCUAGGUCGGAUUAGCUAGUUGGUGGGGUAAAGGCCUACCAGGGCGACGAUCCGUAACUGGUCUGAGAGGAUGAUCAGUCACACUGGAACUGAGACACGGUCCAGACUCCUACGGGAGGCAGCAGUGGGGAAUAUUGGACAAUGGGCGAAAGCCUGAUACAGCCAUGCCGCGUGUGUGAAGAAGGUCUUCGGAUUGUAAAGCACUUUAAGUUGGGAGGAAGGGCAGUAAGUUAAUACCUUGCUGUUUUGACGUUACCAACAGAAUAAGCACCGGCUAACUUCGUG